RNAcentral lists this ribosomal RNA (500 nucleotides) under uncultured bacterium. RNAcentral describes it as "partial 16S ribosomal RNA". It matches the Rfam family "Bacterial small subunit ribosomal RNA", at positions 30 to 523 of the family's 1533-position model. The record is from RNAcentral.
AUUGAACGCUGGCGGAAUGCUUUACACAUGCAAGUCGAACGGCAGCACGGGAGCAAUCCUGGUGGCGAGUGGCGAACGGGUGAGUAAUACAUCGGAACGUGCCCAAUCGUGGGGGAUAACGUAGCGAAAGCUACGCUAAUACCGCAUACGAUCUACGGAUGAAAGCGGGGGAUCGCAAGACCUCGCGCGAAUGGAGCGGCCGAUGGCAGAUUAGGUGGUUGGUGAGGUAAAGGCUCACCAAGCCUGCGAUCUGUAGCUGGUCUGAGAGGACGACCAGCCACACUGGGACUGAGACACGGCCCAGACUCCUACGGGAGGCAGCAGUGGGGAAUUUUGGACAAUGGGCGCAAGCCUGAUCCAGCAAUGCCGCGUGCAGGAUGAAGGCCUUCGGGUUGUAAACUGCUUUUGUACGGAACGAAACGGUCCUUUCUAAUACAAGGGGCUAAUGACGGUACCGUAAGAAAAAGCACCGGCUAACUACGUGCCAGCCGCCGCCGUAA